This 462-nucleotide ribosomal RNA is filed under the name uncultured bacterium. RNAcentral's name for it is "partial 16S ribosomal RNA". It matches the Rfam family "Bacterial small subunit ribosomal RNA", at positions 28 to 507 of the family's 1533-position model. The record is from RNAcentral.
GAUGAACGCUGACAGAAUGCUUAACACAUGCAAGUCAUUGGCGAAGCUGCGCUUGCGCAGUCUAGCCAAGGCGGACGGGUGAGUAACGCGUAAGGAACUUGCCCUGCAGACAGGGAUAACAGACGGAAACGACUGAUAACACCUGGUAUUGUCAGGCUGGCGCAUGCCGGCCUGAUGAAAGGAGACGCUGCAGGAGAGCCUUGCGUCCUAUUAGCUAGUUGGUGGGGUAACGGCCCACCAAGGCGAUGAUAGGUAGCCGGCCUGAGAGGGUGAACGGCCACAAGGGGACUGAGAUACGGCCCUUACGCCUACGGGAGGCAGCAGUGGGGAAUAUUGGACAAUGGGGGCAACCCUGAUCCAGCAAUUCUGUGUGCACGAAGAAGGUUUUCGGAUUGUAAAGUGCUUUCAGCGGGGAAGAAGAAAGUGACGGUACCUGCAGAAGAAGCGACGGCUAAAUACGUG